Molecule: ribosomal RNA, 252 nt
Filed under: uncultured bacterium
Lineage: Bacteria
Description: partial 16S ribosomal RNA
Rfam family: Bacterial small subunit ribosomal RNA
Source: RNAcentral
ACGGAGGAUCCAAGCGUUAUCCGGAUUUAUUGGGUUUAAAGGGUGCGUAGGCGGUCUUGUAAGUCAGUGGUGAAAGCCCUUCGCUUAACGAAGGAACUGCCAUUGAUACUGCAAAUCUUGAGUACAUUUGAUGAGGGCGGAAUGUGUCAUGUAGCGGUGAAAUGCUUAGAUAUGACACAGAACACCGAUUGCGAAGGCAGCUCUCAAAACUGUAACUGACGCUGAGACACGAAAGCGUGGGGAGCAAACAGG